Molecule: ribosomal RNA, 497 nt
Filed under: uncultured bacterium
Lineage: Bacteria
Description: partial 16S ribosomal RNA
Rfam family: Bacterial small subunit ribosomal RNA
Source: RNAcentral
GAUGAACGCUGGCGGCGUGCCUAAUACAUGCAAGUCGAGCGAACGGACGAGAAGCUUGCUUCUCUGAUGUUAGCGGCGGACGGGUGAGUAACACGUGGAUAACCUACCUAUAAGACUGGGAUAACUUCGGGAAACCGGAGCUAAUACCGGAUGAUAUUUUGAACCGCAUGGUUCAAAAGUGAAAGACGGUCUUGCUGUCACUUAUAGAUGGAUCCGCGCUGCAUUAGCUAGUUGGUAAGGUAACGGCUUACCAAGGCAACGAUGCAUAGCCGACCUGAGAGGGUGAUAGGCCACACUGGAACUGAGACACGGUCCAGACUCCUAAGGGAGGCAGCAGUAGGGAAUCUUCCGCAAUGGGCGAAAGCCUGACGGAGCAACGCCGCGUGAGUGAUGAAGGUCUUCGGAUCGUAAAACUCUGUUAUUAGGGAAGAACAUAUGUGUAAGUAACUGUGCACAUCUUGACGGUACCCAAUCAGAAAGCCACGGCUAACUACGUG